Molecule: unclassified non-coding RNA, 347 nt
Filed under: Hevea brasiliensis (rubber tree)
Lineage: Eukaryota; Viridiplantae; Streptophyta; Magnoliopsida; Malpighiales; Euphorbiaceae
Source: RNAcentral
GGAAAACCCUCUAAAGUUGCCUCGAAUGAUACUUUGAUCGUUGAAGAGAAACCGCGGUUCGUCAAAUAGCGGCAGUCGUCGUCGUUGGUGGUGGCUAUGGCUCGGGCAAGUGGUCGGAGCAGGAAUGGGAGCGAAUCGUCGGGGGGAGGGUUUCUUAAGGCCGCUUUCAGAUUCUUGAAGAUGGCUGAGUUUGAGAUCCUUUUCGUUCUCUUCUUCGUCGUAGCUUUUAUUGUCUUCAAAGAUCUUACAUCAAGGCCAGAGUACAAUCAGAUCCUUGUAAAGAAGCCUGAGGGAUUUGAUAUGUGGCCAUUCCAGUAAAUUCUUUGACCUUGCUUUCAUGUAAUCUG